This 274-nucleotide ribosomal RNA is filed under the name uncultured bacterium. Its description in RNAcentral is "partial 16S ribosomal RNA". It matches the Rfam family "Bacterial small subunit ribosomal RNA", at positions 523 to 796 of the family's 1533-position model. The record is from RNAcentral.
AUACGGAGGGUGCAAGCGUUACUCGGAAUCACUGGGCGUAAAGGACGCGUAGGCGGGUUGUCAAGUCAGAUGUGAAAUCCUACAGCUCAACUGUAGAACUGCAUUUGAAACUGGCAACCUAGAGUAUGGGAGGGGGAGAUGGAAUUAGUGGUGUAGGGGUAAAAUCCGUAGAUAUCACUAGGAAUACCGAAAGCGAAGGCGAUCUCCUGGAACAUUACUGACGCUGAGGCGUGAAAGCGUGGGGAGCAAACGGGAUUAGAAACCCGAGUAGUCC